AAUAGCAUGGCAAAGUUCAUUCUUCAAAUUGAAAAUCAAGUUUUGGGAGGGAAAGUAUGUUACUUAGAAUACAAGUUUCAUUUUCACCAUACAUGUUUCAUUCAAAAUCCAUUUUCAUUUCAAAUUCCAAGCAUUACAUCAUAAGUCAUUACAUAAAAAAACAUUUUGACCUAGGUUGACUUUUGGUCAACUAUUUACUUUUUGAACAACCAAUUGACCAAAGUCAACUGACUAAGUUUCUAACUAUCCUAACUCUAAUUUCGGUCUUAAUUAUCCCACAAGCCAUCCCAUUUAUUUGAGUCCCCAAGACCUUCAUUUAUUCUUGAUUUUUCAUGUUUGUCCAUGAAUCAUGCUUUGACUUUAUUACCAAAGUUGCAUCCUCCAAGCCUUGAUAUGAUAAAACCUGCAGAAUUAAUGUACAAACAGUUCAUACCAUGAUUCAUAACUGCAAUGCAAUGCAUCACAAUAUCAUAAACCAUAAUAGUCCAUGGCAAUACAAUCAAGUGUACUUCAAACAUGACAAGCCAUAUAUCAUUCUAAGACCAAUCCAAAUUCAAGCCAUAUAUCAUUCUAACACCACUUCAAAUUCAAACAUAUUUUAACCUUCACUUCACAUUACUAACAGACUUCCAUAAUAUUCAACUUCACAUUCCUAAUACACUAGCUAUAGCCAACUGUCAUAACAUAAAUUAGUUCUAGCAGAGUAGCAACUAACAUUAAAACCUCAAAUUAGCUUCAAUCACUAAAAGAAUAAAACAACAACACAUUCAUUUAACUAGAAAUCAAUCCAACAGGUUUUAACCUAACUGCAACGAACAUUAACACAGGAAAUUCACUUAACAGAAAUUGCAUAAGCUAACAUGAACACAUUCCACAAAUUGGAACUGACUUAUGAUUUCUCUUUUUAAACUAAAUGGCAUGGCUCUUAGCAGUUCAGUACAUACAAUCAUCAAUUUAGUGAAUUAACUCCUAAUCAAUUACACUUGCAGGCCUGCAUUUUAUUAGACAUCAUUCUUUCACCAGCCUCAACAGAUUCACAUAGCAGUUUUUAACCUAACUAAUGCUUUUUUCCCCUUAAUAGAGCUUAGCAGUUUAAUUGAUUCUAAACUAACCUACUACACUAACUUUUCAUUUAAUUAUGCUAACCUAACAAUCUAACUGAUUUACUGAAUACAUAACAGAGUUUACACAAACAUGUCAACAAAUUCAUUUGAAACACAAACUAACCAACUUAGUAGUGAUGAUAAAAAUACUAACUAACAACUUAACAUAAGCUUUCCUAUAACUAAAUUUUCAUUCAAAGUUAACUAAUUGCAAACCUAAUUAACUUCUAACAUAAACGAUACCUUUAUUAACUCUCACGAAUCCCUAGAACUGACAGUGUGAUCAUAGAUAACCGUUUUCACCUGAUUAAGAUUAACAUAGUUAAUCUCAGUUAAUCUUCAACCUCUAUAAAUAUAAUCAUUCACCAAUCAUUGCAAAUCAUGAAUCAUUAUUUUUUUACUAACUCCUAAAACCUCAAAGUUCUCUCAUCAUCAUUCUCUUUGAGAAUCUCUCUGCAUCAUCCACAACCCUCACCAUACACUCAUCUCAUUGUUGUUAGAGCUUCAAUGUUUAAAGGUCUAAAUGGUUGAGCUAAGAACCUCUCCUAUUCACUAGGUUCACACAACAACAACAUAACAACUCCACAAAUCCUACAUGCUAUAGAUGUGAAGAAGAAGAAAGAAUCAACAUCACAAGUACCUGGAUAUUAUCUGGAUUUCGUUCUUCGUUUCAUCGUCUCCACCUUUGAAUUCAACACUCACAGAGGAACUUUUCCUCCUUAUAGGUAGGAAUUGACAUCUAAUUUGCUUCAUUUCAAUCACAGUCAUGUAGUUUCUAAUCCAAGGAAUUAAAGCCCUAACGGUGUAGGCUUUAACUCCUUUUCUGCUUUGUUUAAUUUCGAUUUAGGAGGUUAGGGUUCUUAAAUAACUUGUUUCGGUUUAGUUAAUAGAGUGGAAAUUGGGAGAAAUAGAGGUUGAAUUAGGGACGACGAGGUUGACAUGAAGAGUUUGACAUGAAGUUUUUUUUAUUUGAGUCUCCUUCGUCGCCGGUGACGAAUUCCGGCGCGGCGGAGUUCAUUUCAGGUUAACAUUUUGUGAGGAAUCCUUAAUGAUUGUGAAGUGAUCUUGUGAACACAUGGGAGUGAUAUGUGAGGAUACUGACCCCUCUCCUUGAUUUGGC
Molecule: long non-coding RNA, 2223 nt
Filed under: Lathyrus oleraceus (garden pea)
Lineage: Eukaryota; Viridiplantae; Streptophyta; Magnoliopsida; Fabales; Fabaceae
Description: Pisum sativum (pea) long non-coding RNA (PSAT_LNC022301)
Source: RNAcentral